AGUUCACUUCUUAGUAGCGAAGCUAACGCGUUAAGUUCUCCGCCUGGGGAGUACGGCCGCAAGGUUAAAACUCAAAGAAAUUGACGGGGGCCCGCACAAGCGGUGGAGCAUGUGGUUUAAUUCGAUGCAACGCGAAAAACCUUACCUACCCUUGACAUCCUCGGAACUUGUCAGAGAUGAUUUGGUGCCUUCGGGAACCGAGUGACAGGUGCUGCAUGGCUGUCGUCAGCUCGUGUCGUGAGAUGUUGGGUUAAGUCCCGUAACGAGCGCAACCCUCGUCCUUAGUUGCCAGCGAGUCAAGUCGGGAACUCUAAGGAGACUGCCGGUGAUAAACCGGAGGAAGGUGGGGAUGAUGUCAAGUCAUCAUGGCCCUUACGGGUAGGGCUACACACGUGCUACRAUGGGCAGUACAAAGGGUUGCC
This 422-nucleotide ribosomal RNA is filed under the name uncultured Coxiella sp. RNAcentral describes it as "bacterial SSU rRNA". It matches the Rfam family "Bacterial small subunit ribosomal RNA", at positions 829 to 1251 of the family's 1533-position model. The record is from RNAcentral. Lineage: Bacteria; Pseudomonadati; Pseudomonadota; Gammaproteobacteria; Legionellales; Coxiellaceae.